AACCAUAGAAACCUGCGGAGUACCUGCGGAAGGAUCAUUACAGAGUUGCAAAACUCCCUAAACCAUUGUGAACGUUACCUAAACCGUUGCUUCGGCGGGCGGCCCGGGUCCUUCCCGGCGCCCCUCGGCCCUCGCGGGCGCCCGCCGGAGGUAAACCAAACUAUUGCAUUGUAUGGCCUCUCUGAGUCUUCUGUACUGAGUAAGUCAAAACUUUUAACAAUGGAUCUCAGAUCGGAAGAG
Molecule: unclassified non-coding RNA, 240 nt
Filed under: soil metagenome
Description: partial contains 5.8S ribosomal RNA, internal transcribed spacer 2, and large subunit ribosomal RNA
Source: RNAcentral